AUUGAACGCUGGCGGCAGGCUUAACACAUGCAAGUCGAGCGAGCGGCGGACGGGUGAGUAAUGUCUGGGAACCUGCCCAAUGGAGGGGGAUAACUACUGGAAACGGUAGCUAAUACCGCAUACCAUCAGAGCUGCCCAUAUGGGCUUAGCUAGUAGGUGGGGUAAUGGCUCACCUAGGCGACGAUCCCUAGCUGGUCUGAGAGGAUGACCAGCCACACUGGGACUGAGACAAGGUCCAGACUCCUCCGGGAGGCAGCAGUGGGGAAUAUUGCACAAUGGGCGCAAGCCUGAUGCAGCAAUGCCGCGUGUGUGAAGAAGGCCUUCGGGUUGUAAAGCACUUUCAGCGAGGAGGCGUUACUCGCAGAAGAAGCACCGGCUAACUCCGUGCCAGCAGCCGCGGUAAUAC
Molecule: ribosomal RNA, 406 nt
Filed under: uncultured bacterium
Lineage: Bacteria
Description: partial 16S ribosomal RNA
Rfam family: Bacterial small subunit ribosomal RNA
Source: RNAcentral